GACGAACGCUGGCGGCGUGCUUAACACAUGCAAGUCGAACGAUGAAGCCGGAGCUUGCUCUGGUGAAUUAGUGGCGAACGGGUGAGUAACACGUGAGUAACCUGCCCUUGACUCUGGGAUAACUGCGGGAAACUGUAGCUAAUACCGGAUACGACCCUCGGAGGCAUCUCCUGGGGGUGGAAAGAAUUUCGGUCAAGGAUGGACUCGCGGCCUAUCAGCUAGUUGGUGAGGUAAAGGCUCACCAAGGCGACGACGGGUAGCCGGCCUGGGAGGGGGACCGGCCACACUGUGACUGAGACACGGCCCAGACUCCUACGGGAGGCAGCAGUGGGGAAUAGUGCACAAUGGGCGCAAGCCUGAUGCAGCAACGCCGCGUGAGGGAUGACGGCCUUCGGGUUGUAAACCUCUUUUAGCAGGGAAGAAGCGAAAGUGACGGUACCUGCAGAAAAAGCACCGGCUAACUACGUGCCAGCAGCCGCCGUAA
RNAcentral lists this ribosomal RNA (484 nucleotides) under uncultured bacterium. RNAcentral describes it as "partial 16S ribosomal RNA". It matches the Rfam family "Bacterial small subunit ribosomal RNA", at positions 28 to 523 of the family's 1533-position model. The record is from RNAcentral.